Molecule: non-coding RNA, 136 nt
Organism: Glycine soja
Lineage: Eukaryota; Viridiplantae; Streptophyta; Magnoliopsida; Fabales; Fabaceae
Source: Rfam
CCGUUAAGUGAUGACGCGACAAACGGAGUAUUACGUCAUCACGUUCAAUCACUGACAUGUCAUCACCUUCAAUGACGUGUCAAUGAUUGGACGUGAUGAUGUUACACUCCGUCUGUCACGUCAUUACUUAAUGAAA